GUAGGUGGCAAGCGUUGUCCGGAAUUAUUGGGCGUAAAGCACGCGCAGGUGGUUCUUUAAGUCUGAUGUGAAAGCCCCCGGGCUCAACCGGGGAGGGUCAUUGGAAACUGGGGAACUUGAGUGCAGGAGAGGAAAGUGGAAUUCCACGUGUAGCGGUGAAAUGCGUAGAUAUGUGGAGGAACACCAGUGGCGAAGGCGACUUUCUGGCCUGUAACUGACACUGAGGCGCGAAAGCGUGGGGAGCAAACAGGAUUAGAUACCCUGGUAGUCCACGCCGUAAACGAUGAGUGCUAAGUGUUGGGGGGUUUCCGCCCCUCAGUGCUGCAGCUAACGCAUUAAGCACUCCGCCUGGGGAGUACGGUCGCAAAGACUG
RNAcentral lists this ribosomal RNA (373 nucleotides) under uncultured organism. RNAcentral describes it as "partial 16S ribosomal RNA". It matches the Rfam family "Bacterial small subunit ribosomal RNA", at positions 527 to 896 of the family's 1533-position model. The record is from RNAcentral.